RNAcentral lists this ribosomal RNA (274 nucleotides) under uncultured bacterium. Its description in RNAcentral is "partial 16S ribosomal RNA". It matches the Rfam family "Bacterial small subunit ribosomal RNA", at positions 523 to 796 of the family's 1533-position model. The record is from RNAcentral.
AUACGGAGGGUGCAAGCGUUACUCGGAAUCACUGGGCGUAAAGCGCGCGCAGGCGGCUUGAUAAGUUGUAUGUGAAAGCCUACGGCUCAACCGUAGAACUGCAUCCAAAACUGUCAAGAUAGAGUGUGGGAGAGGAAGAUGGAAUUAGUUGUGUAGGGGUAAAAUCCGUAGAGAUAACUAGGAAUACCAAAAGCGAAGGCAAUCUUCUGGAACACUACUGACGCUGAGGCGCGAAAGCGUGGGGAGCAAACGGGAUUAGAUACCCUAGUAGUCC